AUGGCUUUUGCUUCUUCCUCUACAGAAUCCCAUGUCCUCCCUCACAUAGCAAUCUUCCCCUUCAUGGCCAAGGGCCACACCAUCCCGCUCAUCCAGCUUGUCCACCACCUCCGUCGUCGCCGCCUCGCCACCGUGACCUUCUUCACAACCCAUGCCAACGCCGCCUUCGUCCGCGAGGGACUGUCCGGCGCCGACGACACGGCCGUCGUCGAGCUCGCGUUCCCCGCCGGCGUCGCGGCAAUCCCGCCUGGGGUGGAGAGCGCCGAGGGGCUCACGUCCAUGGCCUCCUUAGCCGCCUUCGCACGCGCCGCGUCGCUGCUCCAGCCACAGCUCGAGGCGUCGCUCGCCGCCAUGGAGCCUCCGGCCAGCCUCCUGGUCGCCGACGCGUUCCUGUACUGGACUAACGCGCCGGCGGCCACGCUCGGCGUCCCGAGGGUGUCGUUCUUAGGCAUCUCGGCGUUCGCACAGGUCAUGCGGGAGCUGCGCGUCAGCCACGAUCCGGUCCCGGCGCUGCAGCACGCCGACGUCGACGGCGACGGCAAUCCGGCGACGUUCACGGUGCCUGAGUUCCCGCACAUCAAGCUCACGCUGGAGGACCUGAUGGCGCCCUUCGGCGACCCGUCGUCGGCUGCUUCGAUGAUGGAGCUGCACGGCAAGCUGGCGAAGGCCAUAGAGGAGAGCCAUGGCCUGAUCGUCAACACCUUCCAGGGCCUAGAGAAACCGUACAUGGAGUUCUGGAACAGCCACUAUAGGCCCACGGCCUGGGCCGUCGGCCCGCUCUGCCUCUCCCAGCCCGCGUCUUCUUCGCCGGGUGCCGCCGGCGCCCGGCCAUCAUGGAUGGAGUGGCUGGACGAGAAGGCAGCCGCCGGCCGGGGAGUGCUGUACGUCGCGUUCGGGACGCUGGCCGCGAUUCCAGAGGUGCAGCUCAAGGAAGUCGCAGACGGGCUGGAGCGGGCCGAGGUAGAUUUCAUAUGGGCCGUGAGGCCGGAGAAUGUCCAUCUCGGUGCAGGCUUCGAGGAGCGUACCAAGGGCAGAGGCUUAGUGGUGAGGGAGUGGGUGGAUCAAUUGGGGAUUUUGCGGCACCAGAGCGUGAGAGGGUUUCUGAGUCACUGCGGAUGGAACUCGGUGCUGGAGAGCGUCGCGGCUGCUGUGCCACUCGCAGCUUGGCCCAUGCAGGCCGAUCAACCUUUCAACGCAGCGUUUGUAGCCGACGAGCUCAAGAUCGCGGUUAGGGUCCACACGAGUGAUAGAACGAUGCGGGGUCCGGUCACGAGCGAAGAAAUAUCGCGAGUGGUCAGGGAGCUUAUGCUCGGAGAGGCCGGAACCGAAGCGGCAAAGAAUGUUGCCGAGUUAUCGGUGCUGGCUAUGGAGUCCGUAUUGGAGAGGGGGUCGUCGUGGAAAGCAAUGGAGGAGAUGAUCGGUGAGUUGUGUGCACCCAACAGCAUGCAUGCAAAGCUUGAUGCGAGCAAGGAGGAGUCGCGAGAUGUUUAA
Molecule: ribosomal RNA, 1491 nt
Filed under: Triticum aestivum (bread wheat)
Lineage: Eukaryota; Viridiplantae; Streptophyta; Magnoliopsida; Poales; Poaceae
Description: partial small subunit ribosomal RNA
Source: RNAcentral